UCCAAUACUGGAGGUAUAAAUUGUAUAGAGACUUCUAGAGAGUUCUAAUUUGUUUCAUGCAUUUUUUGCAGAUUUGACUCCAGAGUGCAUUAUCACAGUGUUGACUGUGUGUAAGCAUUGUGUAUAUACAUAGGAAUGUUGAAACUUCUUCAAUAAACGAAGAGAUGUCCUUUUUGUACAUCUGCAUUUGUAAAAGAGAUUUCUUAAGAUCUUGGCUGUUUGGGUAACUGCUUAUGUGCUGGUGACCCAUUGUGGUUUUUUGAUUGAUCUUCUCAAAAGAUAGGCUGUUCAUCAUGAUAUUUCAGAUGACCACAGUUAUAAAGCUGGGUGCACGUAGUGACUGACCAUAAUGAUAUGUGUUUAUACAUCCCUUUUUGACCUAUUUCUUCAUGAAUAUCUGCUCAUUACUCUUAUGUUCAUGUGACUGCCCUUAGUAGACCUGAGUGUUUAUGCUUGCAAAUUAUGUAUGUUAUUAUUGCCUAUUGUGUAAAGUGGUCUGUGAAGUGUUCUGCUAUUUAUUUUAAUUUUUUUGAGACACAGUCUUGCUCUCUGUCACCCAGACUGGAGUGCAGUGGCCUGAUCUCUGCUCACUGCAACCUCUGCUUCCCAGGCUCAAGCAAUUCUCCUUCCUAAGCCUCCCAAGUAGCUGGAACUACAGGCAUGCACCACCAUACCGGAUAAUUUUUUGUAUUUUUAGUACAGAUGGGGUUUUACCAUGUUGGCCCAAGCUGGUCUCUAACUCCUGGCCUCAAGUGAUCCACACAUCUCAGCCUGUGUUCUGUUAUGUUUUUAUAUGUUCCUCAAAUAAAUCCCAUUUUGAAAAUGUAAAUAUCUUUUCAAUAACUUUUUAAAAUUAUUUUUUCCAGAGUUAUAUUUUCAGGAUUUUAAUCUCUCAGUAUUUCAACAUUCAGGAUUAUAGUGUUUGGGAUUAUGGUGUUUGGGAUUGUGAUUGGCUCCCAGUAAAGCACAGGGCUAAUUAUCACAGGUGAGCAACAGAAAUGUUCAAAUACAGGUGGCUGCUGCGUGCUUGCAGUGUGGCUCUCACAGAUUGAGAUGUGCUUAAAAUACACACGGGAUUUCAAAGACUUGGGUGAAAAAAGUAAAAUAUUUCAAUAUAUUUGUAUAUGGAUACAUGUUGAAAUAAUAAUGUUUUGAUGUAUUGG
Molecule: long non-coding RNA, 1163 nt
Filed under: Homo sapiens (human)
Lineage: Eukaryota; Metazoa; Chordata; Mammalia; Primates; Hominidae
Description: HSALNT0162539
Source: RNAcentral